UACGGAGGAUGCGAGCGUUACCCGGAUUUAUUGGGUUUAAAGGGUGCGUAGGCGGGAUGCCAAGUCAGCGGUAAAAAUGCGGUGCUCAACGCCGUCGAGCCGUUGAAACUGGCGUUCUUGAGUGGGCGAGAAGUAUGCGGAAUGCGUGGUGUAGCGGUGAUAUGCAUAGAUAUCACGCAGAACUCCGAUUGCGAGGGCAGCAUACCGGCGCCCUACUGACGCUGAGGCACGAAAGCGUGGGUAUCGAACAGG
RNAcentral lists this ribosomal RNA (252 nucleotides) under uncultured bacterium. Its description in RNAcentral is "partial 16S ribosomal RNA". It matches the Rfam family "Bacterial small subunit ribosomal RNA", at positions 524 to 776 of the family's 1533-position model. The record is from RNAcentral.